This 704-nucleotide ribosomal RNA is filed under the name uncultured bacterium. Its description in RNAcentral is "bacterial SSU rRNA". It matches the Rfam family "Bacterial small subunit ribosomal RNA", at positions 771 to 1501 of the family's 1533-position model. The record is from RNAcentral.
AACAGGAUUAGAUACCCUGGUAGUCCACGCCGUAAACUAUGGAUGCUAGCUGUUAUCGGUAUCGACCCCGAUAGUAGCGAAGCUAACGCGUUAAGCAUCCCGCCUGUGGAGUACGGUCGCAAGACUAAAACAUAAAGGAAUUGACGGGGACCCGCACAAGCGGUGGAGCGUGUUGUUUAAUUCGAUGGUAAGCGAAGAACCUUACCCAGGCUUGACAUCCUUGGAAUUUCUCCGAAAGGAGAGAGUGCCUUUGGAACCAAGUGACAGGUGUUGCUUGGCCGUCGUCAGCUCGUGUCGUGAGAUGUUUGGUUAAGUCCAUCAACGAGCGCAACCCUUGUGAGUAGUUGAAUUUUUCUACUCAAACUGCCCUGGCAACAGGGAGGAAGGGGGGGAUGAUGUCAGGUCAGUAUUACCCUUACGUCUGGGGCUACAAACACGCUACAAUGGCCGGUACAAAGGGCUGCCAAGUCGCGAGACGGGGCAAAUCCCAUCAAAGCCGGUCCAAGUUCGGAUAGCAGGCUGAAACUCGCCUGCUUGAAGCUGGAAUCGCUAGUAACGGUAGGUCAGCACACUGCCGUGAAUACGUUCCCGGGUCUUGUACACACCGCCCGUCAAACCAUGAAAGUCGCCAAUACCUGACGUCUCAGCUUCGUCUGGGCCUAAGGUAGGGGAGAUGAUUGGGGUUAAGUCGUAACAAGGUAACC